RNAcentral lists this transfer RNA (77 nucleotides) under Gammaproteobacteria bacterium. RNAcentral describes it as "tRNA-Val". It matches the Rfam family "tRNA". From Rfam's summary of the family: Transfer RNA (tRNA) molecules are approximately 80 nucleotides in length. Their secondary structure includes four short double-helical elements and three loops (D, anti-codon, and T loops). Further hydrogen bonds mediate the characteristic L-shaped molecular structure. tRNAs have two regions of fundamental functional importance: the anti-codon, which is responsible for specific mRNA codon recognition, and the 3' end, to which the tRNAs corresponding amino acid is attached (by aminoacyl-tRNA synthetases). tRNAs cope with the degeneracy of the genetic code in two manners: having more than one tRNA (with a specific anti-codon) for a particular amino acid; and 'wobble' base-pairing, i.e. permitting non-standard base-pairing at the 3rd anti-codon position. Lineage: Bacteria; Pseudomonadati; Pseudomonadota; Gammaproteobacteria. RNAcentral also lists the same sequence under 1 other name. The record is from RNAcentral.
AGGACGUUAGCUCAGUUGGUUAGAGCACCACCUUGACAUGGUGGGGGUCGGUGGUUCGAAUCCACUACGUCCUACCA